RNAcentral lists this ribosomal RNA (513 nucleotides) under uncultured bacterium. RNAcentral describes it as "partial 16S ribosomal RNA". It matches the Rfam family "Bacterial small subunit ribosomal RNA", at positions 28 to 523 of the family's 1533-position model. The record is from RNAcentral.
GAUGAACGCUGGCGGCGUGCCUAAUACAUGCAAGUCGAGCGAACAGACGAGGAGCUUGCUCCUCUGACGUUAGCGGCGGACGGGUGAGUAACACGUGGAUAACCUACCUAUAAGACUGGGAUAACUUCGGGAAACCGGAGCUAACACCGGAUAAUAUAUUGAACCGCAUGGUUCAAUAGUGAAAGACGGUUUUGCUGUCACUUAUAGAUGGAUCCGCGCCGCAUUAGCUAGUUGGUAAGGUAACGGCUUACCAAGGCAACGAUGCGUAGCCGACCUGAGAGGGUGAUCGGCCACACUGGAACUGAGACACGGUCCAGACUCCUACGGGAGGCAGCAGUAGGGAAUCUUCCGCAAUGGGCGAAAGCCUGACGGAGCAACGCCGCGUGAGUGAUGAAGGUCUUCGGAUCGUAAAACUCUGUUAUUAGGGAAGAACAAAUGUGUAAGUAACUAUGCACGUCUUGACGGUACCUAAUCAGAAAGCCACGGCUAACUACGUGCCAGCAGCCGCGGUAA